GGUAAUCAAAGUUAAUCAUUAAAUCUUAGUAGCAAUUACUAAAUCAAUUUUUAAUAACAAAUUACUAGAGUAAAAAAGAGGAUUGUAGAAUUUCAAGUGGAGAAAUAAAAUUCGUAGAUUUUUGAAGGAAUAUCGAAAGCGAAGGCAACAAUCUGGUUUUAUACUGACGCUGAUUCACGAAAGCCUAGGUAGCAACCGGGAUUAGAGACCCCGUUAGUCUAGGCUGUAAACGAUGAGUACUCAUUUUUGGAUAGAACAUAUUCAGAAAUUUAGCUAACGCGUUAAGUACUCCACCUGAGGAGUACAGUGGCAACACUGAAACUCAAAGGAAUUGACGGGGAUUUAUACCAUUCGUGGAAUAUGUGGUUUAAUUCGUAAAUACACGCAAAACCUUACCAACUUUUGAAUGAUUUUAUAUUCUAAUGAAGAAAUUUGUUAUGUUAAAAAUUACAGGUACUGCAUGGCUGUCGUCAGCUCGUGUCUUGAGAUGUUAGGUUUAGUCCAGUAACGAGCGAAACCCUUUUUCUUUGUUGCAAAAGACAAUUUGUUCAUUUAUAUUAAUUGAAUUGUGUCUGUGUACUUAAAGAGUAUUGCCUAUGAUAUAUAGGAUGAAAGAAAGGAUGACGUCAAGUCUUCAUGGUCCUUAUAAGUUGGGCUACACAUGUAUUACAAGGGUAACUACAAUAAGAUGCAAUAAUGAAAAUUGNNGCAAAUCU
RNAcentral lists this ribosomal RNA (716 nucleotides) under uncultured bacterium. RNAcentral's name for it is "bacterial SSU rRNA". It matches the Rfam family "Bacterial small subunit ribosomal RNA", at positions 577 to 1274 of the family's 1533-position model. The record is from RNAcentral.